Molecule: ribosomal RNA, 503 nt
Filed under: uncultured bacterium
Lineage: Bacteria
Description: bacterial SSU rRNA
Rfam family: Bacterial small subunit ribosomal RNA
Source: RNAcentral
AGUUUGAUCAUGGCUCAGGAUGAACGCUAGCGGCAGGCUUAAUACAUGCAAGUCGUACGGGAUCCGAGGUAGCAAUACUUUGGUGAGAGUGGCGCACGGGUGCGUAACACGUAUGCAACCUACCUAUAACCGGGACACAACCUCGAGAAAUUGAGGCUAAUAUCCCAUAACACUGCGAGAUGGCAUCAUUUUGCAGUUAAAACUCCGGUGGUUAUAGAUGGGCAUGCGCGACAUUAGCUAGUUGGUGAGGUAACGGCCCACCAAGGCUACGAUGUCUAGGGGUUCUGAGAGGAUUAUCCCCCACACUGGUACUGAGACACGGACCAGACUCCUACGGGAGGCAGCAGUAAGGAAUAUUGGUCAAUGGGCGCAAGCCUGAACCAGCCAUGCCGCGUGAAGGAUGACGGCCCUAUGGGUUGUAAACUUCUUUUGUACGGGAAAAAACCUCUGGUCGAGAAUCAGAGCUGAUGGUACCGUAAGAAUAAGCAUCGGCUAACUCCGUG